UACGUAGGGUGCGAGCGUUAAUCGGAAUUACUGGGCGUAAAGCGUGCGCAGGCGGCGCGUUAAGCCAGGUGUGAAAGCCCCGAGCUUAACUUGGGAAUUGCGCUUGUGACUGGCGUGCUGGAGUGUGGCAGAGGGAGGUGGAAUUCCACGUGUAGCAGUGAAAUGCGUAGAGGUGUGGAGGAACACCGAUGGCGAAGGCAGCCUCCUGGGCCAGCACUGACGCUCAUGCACGAAAGCGUGGGGAGCAAACAGG
Molecule: ribosomal RNA, 253 nt
Filed under: uncultured bacterium
Lineage: Bacteria
Description: partial 16S ribosomal RNA
Rfam family: Bacterial small subunit ribosomal RNA
Source: RNAcentral